Molecule: long non-coding RNA, 635 nt
Organism: Jatropha curcas
Lineage: Eukaryota; Viridiplantae; Streptophyta; Magnoliopsida; Malpighiales; Euphorbiaceae
Source: RefSeq, a predicted model, not a curated record
CAUUAUUGUCCAAUGGUACACAUUAAGCGAAGCUUCUCUCCUCUCCUCUACAAUGACAUACUUCUUCAUAUUGAUCUCUAAGAUUCCAUCAAAUCUCUUCUCUUUCUCUUUCCUUGCAUCUUUUCUCUCUCUCUCUCUUUUUCUCAUCUCUUCUUCCUCUCCUAAAUACCCCUUUGUAUUGUAGGACCCUACAAGUAUAACCAUUGUUAAGGAUUAUAAAGUGAUAAACGAUGUAUUGUCAGAGUUUAGGAAGAUGCAACAAAGGGCCACUUAUUUCAAAAUCCAUGGACCUAGACCCUCUAAUAUCAUGGCAAGUGUAUGUAUUCCGGUAUAAAUCAGUUUCAAGGAGAAAUAUUGAGUUGCAUGCAUUUAGAUCACUGUCGGAGCGAUUCAAGAAUGGAUUUAUUCUCAAGAAUAAUUUUGUCAUCAACAAACCACCAUUGUCGAAGCUUGAUGGAUUUUAAUGGGUUUUCUAGUUCUUAAUGGAUCAUUUUUCUUUUCUUUAAUUUUUAUCUUUUGUUUUAUUAAUUUUCUAGAGUUUAAUAUUAUUAAUAGGUUCUUGAUCCAAUUUUCUAUUUCGAUAUUUGUUCUUAUGGAGUCAAUUUUUCUAUUAUAACAGUUUUGUUCUUGAUGAA